RNAcentral lists this ribosomal RNA (1362 nucleotides) under Triticum aestivum (bread wheat). RNAcentral describes it as "partial small subunit ribosomal RNA". The record is from RNAcentral. Lineage: Eukaryota; Viridiplantae; Streptophyta; Magnoliopsida; Poales; Poaceae.
AUGCAGUGUACAACAACAAAACAACAUAUUCUGCUUUCAGGUAAGACUAAGUCAUGGUUAUGUUUGAUAAAAAGGAUAAAAAGAAACUUACAGAGCUUAAUGCCUUCAGGUAUUAUCAUUGGGUCAUCUGGUGGCUUCAGCAUUCUAGCUCUGAGUUUUGGUACAGUAUUUCUCAUUCGUAUAUGGAAAAGAAAUGUUCAACGACAACUACGGAAGAAUUAUUUUCGGAAUAACCAAGGUCUUCUCCUAGAAACAUUGAUAUCAUCUGAUGAAAGUGCAAAUGACAAAACAAAGAUUUUCUCAUUAGAAGAGCUAGAGAAAGCAACAGACAACUUUGAUACGGCCCGCAUCAUUGGCUCUGGGGGGCAUGGCAUGGUUUAUAAAGGCAUGUUAUCUGAUCAACGUGUGGUUGCAAUAAAAAAGUCCAAGGUCAUUAAAAAGGCUGAGAUCACUCAAUUCAUCAAUGAGGUCGCUAUCCUCUCACAAGUAAAUCAUAGAAACAUUGUGAAGCUCUUUGGGUGUUGUCUGGAAACUGAGGUUCCACUGCUCGUGUAUGAAUAUAUAUCUUGUGGCUCACUGUCUCAAGUCUUAAAUGCUGACUCAAGCACUAGUUUUUCUUUGUCCUGGGAUGAUUACUUAAGGAUUGCCACGGAAACAGCAGGAGCACUAUCUUAUCUCCACUCAGCGGCUUCAAUAUCAAUCUUCCAUCGUGAUGUGAAAUCGUCAAACAUACUCCUGGAUGGGAACUACAGAGUUAAAGUUUCAGAUUUUGGUGCUUCUAGAUUGGUUCCAGUUGAUCAAACACACAUUGUUACAAAUGUGCAAGUUACAUUUGGGUACUUAGAUCCAGAGUACUUCCAUACCAGGCAGUUAAAUGAGAAGAGUGACGUGUAUAGUUUUGGUGUGGUACUAGUGGAGUUGCUUCUUAGAAUGAAGCCUAUCAUCAGGAGUGAAUCAGGCACAAUGCAGAACUUGUCACACUACUUUAUAAGGGCAUUGAACGAGGGAGGGAUCGCCGACAUACUGAACUCUGAAGUCCUUGAGGAAGCAACUAAGGAUGAGAUCAUCGAUGUUGCCAGUCUUGCAGAGUUGUGCUUAAGACUGCGUGGUGAAGAAAGACCCACCAUGAAACAAGUUGAGGUUGAGUUGCAGAUAUUACGAACAAGAAGGGCAAACUCAUGUCAAGCGAAUGUAAUAAAUGAAGAACAAACACAACCAAUGUUGUUAACUCGAGGAGUUAAAGUUGCUUUCCAGUCGUCAGCCACGUUAGUGGAUUGCAGAUACAACUUAGAGUCAAGAGACAGCCAAGGUUGCUACGACCUGCAGGAAGAGUUCAUGGCAUCAGCUAGUCUAGCACGCUAG